UCCCAAUACUAAACCUACAACCUUUUAUUCCCUACUUAAAACCUGUUGAGACACAAAGAAAGAGAAGAAGAGGAACGAACAGAAGCAGAAGGGGGCGAGAAAUCAGAAAAGGAAAAAAAACAGAGUGUUUCCUUCUUCCUCUUAAAGAAAAUCACAGCAGCCAUACACGAUUCAAAUACCAUGUUUCUUCAUAAUUUCACCAUGUAAAGCACAACAAAACAAAGGGGUUUGGGGGGAUUAUAUUUCUCCUAGAAAGCUCACUGCUUACCCUUAAACCAACAUCCUCCAACAAACAUCGUUGUUUUCUACCUCUGUUUUUCAUCUUUGUUGAAUUACCGGCAGUCGACCAGGAUCCAUAGCCAUCGCCAUAGAUCUCCAUCACAGCUUCAUCUCAACGUCGAAAAUAAUCGUGCUCCACUAUCCUUUACCAAAGCUCUGUUCAAUUGCUUUGAAUUACCAAGUUCUACCGGUUUCAGUUGGGGUUUUCCCAUCGAGGUCGAGUUCGACUUCCGGUCAAGAGGUUAAUUGUUCGUGGUUUUUAGCCCAGCUAGGUGUCAUGUUCGCUGGUCUUAGUAGAGGUACGUCGAGGUCUUCGGUCUUUGCUCAAUUCCUGGACAGAGUCCAUUCUUUUACAGUUUUUGGGUUGGAAGCACUUUGAAAGUUCCAUUAAUUUCCCUAAUCAUUUUUUCUCUUAAUGCUACGCUUUUGUGGCAUUUAAUUUGAUAAUCUGAAUCUUCUUGAUGUUUGAUUAUUAGAUGAGAUAUAUUUUCACUUAGUAACUAUUUUGAUUAUUUAAUUUGGAUAAUUAUCCUUUGUUUGCACAAAAACUAACCAAAAGUUAUGUGGGUAUUAUUCAUUAAUUGAGCUCAAUCAAUUGGGCUUAUAAGAAAUGGAUCGCGGGAUUGGUUUAAAAGUGAAACUUAGUGUUGGAUUUGAUAUGUUUUUUAUUGCUUUACAUUAUCUAUUUAAAGUCGUUAAGGGCAUGCUUAAGCAAUCAAUACCCUGGUAGGCAUCUUUUAGGACGCCCUUCUUUUUUUAGGCUUCUAAGGAAAAAAGGUGUUCCCUUAGUUAUUAUUUUAUUCAGGGGGUGUCUAGUAAAUUUUGUAUAUAUUUUUAUUCGCGAUAUGCCCUAUAAUAAUUAUAAUUGGAGAUCAUGGCGAACGUCGCAUAGGAAGCAUAAGAAUAGGGUAGCGUCGGACUUUUAGAACCUUUUUUUCGUUUUCCUUUCCUUUUUAUUAAAUUUUCUUUUAUUAGGUGGGGACAACCUUGAGCCUUUUUUGUAUUUAUUUUUAUUUUUGUGUGUUAUGUCUCAAUUAGAAUAUUUUUAUAGCCAACUAACUCACAUAUGCAAUCGUGAUUUUCACGAGAUUCAGGGAAUACCUAACAUUUUUUUUCGGGUCAAAUGAAUCCCCUUACUUAGAAUUUUUGAUGUAGUUAGUUUUAUAGUCAAAUGUGUUUUAAAGGAUUUUUUUUUAAAAAAAAGCGUACCUGGCUCACUGAAUCAAAUGUCAGGUGGCAACCAUGAAAAAUCCUUCGAAACACAACUGUUGUCACUUUCGAAUUUGAAAACCCUUUUGAGCUUCAAAAUUACUCUAUAUUUUUAAAGAGGGUUAAGGUGAAAAAAAGGAUAUGACAACUUUGCUACUUUGCCGCGGGGUUAUAGAUUCGAACUUGUACUUGAUCUUGUUGUCUUUAUAGAAUAUUGUAUUGAGGUGCAUGAUUUCUUUAUCUUCUUUUUUUAUUUGGUUUGUUUGUUUUAUUUCCUAUUUUUGGUUGUUUAUUUGAUUAUUGUUUUUUUCUUAUGUGUUUACUGUUUUAUAAACUGUCAAUAUUCUCAUAACCAUGUGUCUUCUUUCUGUAACAAGUCUUCUAGAGUACGUUUGAGCAUACAUGAUCUUUUUAUGAGUCAUCCGUGUCUUUAGGGUGGUGACGUGGGAGUGUGGAGUGGGCGGACAACUAGAAUAGCCGCCAUCGACCACAUGCCGUGCAAAAUUUCCUUGUCUAGUGAACCCCAAACUUAGGUCAUCCUUUAAGUAAUUCUUAUUUGAAUCAUUUCAUUUAAACCUAACAAGGCUCGGUCCCAAGCACUGUGUCCCUUUUUAGGAGGCUUAUCCAAAUUAUGUCAAAAUCUGCUCGUGGCCCAAAAAGACAUUUAAUCAUACCUAUGUGUUACAUGAUGCAUUCUUUAAGGGUAAAGGGUUAUUUGGAGGACCAAUGAUGGUUGAGGGCAAAUGAGAAAGAAAAGAAGGUGAAGUACAAAAAUAAAACUAGUAAAGGCUAAUUAUACUUUUCUUUAACAACUUUUUCAAAAAAAAAUUUAACAAGAUGUUCUCUCAUUUUUAGGUCUAUUCCUGUUGAAUUUGCAUGAUUAGCCAUUUUCUGGCCAUAUAAGUCGUUUUUGCAAAGUGAGGUCACUUUUGCAAUGUAAUUUUGGAGACCUUGAUUCCUAAGAGAUUGGGGGCUACAUAGGCCCUUGUGAGGUGUUUUCCAUUCUUAGAGGUCAGCCUAAUUGAGUUAACACUUCUAGCCACUCUUGACCACAUAAGUAAUUUGCAAAAAUAGCCCCAAUCAUCUCUUGCAUGCGUCCAAUAGGUAGUGUUAUGGCUCACAUAUUAUUUUGAGUCACUAACUAUGUUUGGUGUUAUUCUUCUCAUUCAGGUAUGCAUCCACUUAAUAGAGCUUGAGCAUGGCAAACGUCCCAAGACCAUCUUAGUCAGUACCAUUUCUUUUAGGAGUUGCUUGAGAAGAUUUUUUAUAUUUUGAGUCUGUUUUUUCUUUUAUUUCAUAAGUCUUGUCCAAUAUCAUUGAUUAUUUUAGGUGAUGUCAUAGUUUGUCGUAAUCUAGUUGAGUUUGUCGAAUCUUUUGUUAUCGUACUUCCUAUGAUGUAUUUGAAAAUAAAAAAAUUGUUAUAAAUGAAAAAUCUAAAAAAAAUUUAGUUUUAGUUUAGUAUGUCCAUUACUUUUCCAGAACUACGCUUGGU
RNAcentral lists this long non-coding RNA (2980 nucleotides) under Nicotiana benthamiana. RNAcentral's name for it is "long non-coding RNA (NBEN_LNC037871)". The record is from RNAcentral. Lineage: Eukaryota; Viridiplantae; Streptophyta; Magnoliopsida; Solanales; Solanaceae.